UUCCGGUUGAUCCUGCCGGACCUGACUGCUAUCGGAUUGAUACUAAGCCAUGCGAGUCAUUGUAGCAAUACAAGGCAGACGGCUCAGUAACGCGUAGUCAACCUAACCUAUGGACGGGAAUAACCUCGGGAAACUGAGAAUAAUGCCCGAUAGAACACUAUACCUGGAAUGGUUUGUGUUCCAAAUGAUUUAUCGCCGUAGGGUGGGACUGCGGCCUAUCAGUUUGUUGGUGAGGUAAUGGCCCACCAAGACUAUUACAGGUACGGGCUCUGAGAGGAGUAGCCCGGAGAUGGGUACUGAGACACGGACCCAGGCCCUAUGGGGCGCAGCAGGCGAGAAAACUUUGCAAUGUGCGAAAGCACGACAAGGUUAAUCCGAGUGAUUUGUGCUAAACGAAUCUUUUGUUAGUCCUAGAACCACUAACGAAUAAGGGGUGGGCAAGUUCUGGUGUCAGCCGCCGCGGUAAAACCAGCACCUCAAGUGGUCAGGAUGAUUAUUGGGCCUAAAGCAUCCGUAGCCGGCUCUGUAAGUUUUCGGUUAAAUCUGUACGCUUGACGUACAGGCUGCCGGGAAUACUGCAGAGCUAGGGAGUGGGAGAGGUAGACGGUACUCGGUAGGAAGGGG
RNAcentral lists this ribosomal RNA (624 nucleotides) under uncultured archaeon. RNAcentral's name for it is "bacterial SSU rRNA". It matches the Rfam family "Archaeal small subunit ribosomal RNA", at positions 1 to 632 of the family's 1478-position model. The record is from RNAcentral.